GCACUUCAAGCCUUAAAUGGAACGCCUC
RNAcentral lists this small RNA (28 nucleotides) under Bombyx mori (domestic silkworm). RNAcentral's name for it is "ovarian small RNA-16449". Lineage: Eukaryota; Metazoa; Arthropoda; Insecta; Lepidoptera; Bombycidae. The record is from RNAcentral.